Molecule: ribosomal RNA, 505 nt
Filed under: uncultured bacterium
Lineage: Bacteria
Description: partial 16S ribosomal RNA
Rfam family: Bacterial small subunit ribosomal RNA
Source: RNAcentral
GACGAACGCUGGCGGCGUGCCUAAUACAUGCAAGUAGAACGCACAGUUUAUACCGUAGCUUGCUACACCAUAGACUGUGAGUUGCGAACGGGUGAGUAACGCGUAGGUAACCUGCCUGGUAGCGGGGGAUAACUAUUGGAAACGAUAGCUAAUACCGCAUAAUAUUAAUUAUUGCAUGAUAAUUAAUUGAAAGGUGCAAUUGCACCACUACCAGAUGGACCUGCGUUGUAUUAGCUAGUAGGUGGGGUAACGGCUCACCUAGGCGACGAUACAUAACCGACCUGAGAGGGUGAUCGGCCACACUGGGACGGAGACACGGCCCAGACUCCUACGGGAGGCAGCAGUAGGGAAUCUUCGGCAAUGGACGAAAGUCUGACCGAGCAACGCCGCGUGAGUGAAGAAGGUUUUCGGAUCGUAAAGCUCUGUUGUAAGAGAAGAACGGGUGUGAGAGUGGAAAGUUCACACUGUGACGGUAUCUUACCAGAAAGGGACGGCUAACUACGUG